GACGAACGCUGGCGGCGUGCUUAACACAUGCAAGUCGAACGGAAAGGCCUGCUUUCCCUUGUGGAUUGCGGGUACUCGAGUGGCGAACGGGUGAGUAACACGUGAGUGAUCUGCCCCCAACUUGGGUAUAAGUCUGGGAAACUGGGUCUAAUUCCCGAUAGGACUGCAGGGUGGUGCCUGUGGUGGAAAACGAUUUUCUAGUGGUUGGGGAUGAGCUCGCGGCCUAUCAGCUUGUUGGUGGGGUAAUGGCCUACCAAGGCGGCGACGGGUAGCCGGCCUGAGAGGGUGGACGGCCACAUUGGGACUGAGAUACGGCCCAGACUCCUACGGGAGGCAGCAGUGGGGAAGAUUGCACAAUGGGCGGAAGCCUGAUGCAGCGACGCCGCGUGGGGGAUGACGGCCUUCGGGUUGUAAACUCCUUUCGACCGCGAGGAAGCCACCUGGUUGGAAGGGUGGUGACGGUAGUGGUAGAAGAAGCACCGGCUAACUACGUG
Molecule: ribosomal RNA, 494 nt
Filed under: uncultured bacterium
Lineage: Bacteria
Description: partial 16S ribosomal RNA
Rfam family: Bacterial small subunit ribosomal RNA
Source: RNAcentral